CAGAGGGUGCGAGCGUUAAUCGGAAUUACUGGGCGUAAAGCGCGCGUAGGCGGCUUUGCAAGUCGGGUGUGAAAUCCCCAGGCUUAACCUGGGAACUGCAUUCGAGACUGCAUUGCUAGAGUAUGGGAGAGGGAAGUGGAACUUCAGGUGUAGCGGUGAAAUGCGUAGAUAUCUGAAGGAACAUCAGUGGCGAAAGCGACUCCCUGGACCAGUACUGACGCUCAUGUGCGAAAGCGUGGGGAGCAAACAGGAUUAGAUACCCUGGUAGUCCACGCCAUAAACGAUGAGAACUGGUUGUCGGGAGGGUCUGCCUCUCGGUGUCGUAGCUAACGCGUUGAGUUCUCCGCCUGGGGAGUACGGCCGCAAGGUUG
RNAcentral lists this ribosomal RNA (371 nucleotides) under uncultured organism. RNAcentral's name for it is "bacterial SSU rRNA". It matches the Rfam family "Bacterial small subunit ribosomal RNA", at positions 526 to 896 of the family's 1533-position model. The record is from RNAcentral.